This 477-nucleotide ribosomal RNA is filed under the name uncultured bacterium. RNAcentral describes it as "partial 16S ribosomal RNA". It matches the Rfam family "Bacterial small subunit ribosomal RNA", at positions 30 to 507 of the family's 1533-position model. The record is from RNAcentral.
AUGAACGCUGGCGGCGUGCCUAACCCAUGCAAGUCGAACGGAGUCCAGCCUUUAAGACCUUCGGGUCAAAGAGGGGAAGACUGAGUGGCGGACGGGUGAGUAACACGUGGGCAACCUGGCUCAUAGAGGGGGAUAACAGAGAGAAAUUUCUGCUAAUACCGCAUAAGCACACACUGCCGCAUGGCAGAGGGUGAAAAGAGAAUCGCUAUGAGAUGGACCCGCGUCUGAUUAGCCAGUUGGCAGGGUAAGAGCCUACCAAAGCGACGAUCAGUAGCCGAUCUGAGAGGAUGAACGGCCACAUUGGGACUGAGACACGGCCCAAACUCCUACGGGAGGCAGCAGUGGGGGAUAUUGCACAAUGGGGGGAACCCUGAUGCAGCGACGCCGCGUGAGUGAAGAAGUAUUUCGGUAUGUAAAGCUCUAUCAGCAGGGAAGAUAAUGACAGUACCUGAAGAAGAAGCCCCGGCUAACUACGUG